Molecule: small nucleolar RNA, 139 nt
Filed under: Sorghum bicolor (sorghum)
Lineage: Eukaryota; Viridiplantae; Streptophyta; Magnoliopsida; Poales; Poaceae
Description: Small nucleolar RNA Z247
Rfam family: Small nucleolar RNA Z247
About the family: Z247 is a member of the C/D class of snoRNA which contain the C (UGAUGA) and D (CUGA) box motifs.
Source: Rfam by way of RNAcentral
AAUCUUGAUGAUGAAGAACUGGUUGAGUAUAUACUCACAGGCCUUGGUGAAGACUACACCUCCCUGGUCACAGCCCUUACUGCUAGGGUUGAAAAGAUCUUAGUUGGGGAGUUAUACUCUCAACUCCUCAAUUUUGAGA